Long non-coding RNA from Musca domestica (house fly), 919 nucleotides. RefSeq lists it as uncharacterized. The record is from RefSeq and is a predicted model, not a curated record. Lineage: Eukaryota; Metazoa; Arthropoda; Insecta; Diptera; Muscidae. The transcript is spliced from 3 exons.
UUAACGUUUGCGUUCAAAUUUAAUAAUGAAUUCAAUUUAAUGAAUAAAUACAAUUUUGCCAAAAAUUACAAAAAAACUUUCCUUUUUCUUCUUUUAGACUGCGCUUUCUGAUGACAAAAAUUAGGGUGCAAUAAAGGCAGCUUGCAAUUGUGGUUCUUCCCAACAAGUAAGUACGAAAGGCAAAUAAAGGUGGAGUGUCGAUAGCACUUAAAAUCGACGAACGGAUUAAAAGCCUGGUUACCUAACCUUGAAUAGAGCUCUAUUCAACGUCGUGUACCUGCAGACUAACCAAAAGAGAAAAAAAACGCGGAAUUUAAUUAUGAUGCUUCGUCGUUCAUCUGUCUGUCCGAGGUUUCUUGUAUUAAAUGUAGAUUGGGAAUACCAAGCCACGCUGGGUUAGCAAUGGCGCAAAAUCAGCGGCUCCCUCGAUGGAUUGGAUGGGCGAUGGUGUGGCUUGUAGGCUCCAAUUCUUCAUGAAUUUUUAGGUUUAAGAAUUAUUUUCUUGCUUUAGAUUCUUAGUUAAUUGUUUUGGUUUUUUUUUUUCAAUUUUGUUAAAUUGUUUCCAAACUUUGUUUAAUUUAAAAAAAAAGUUCAAUUUUUCUUUUAAUUUUCAAUUUUUGUGAAAACUAUUUGUUUUGUUAUAAGUUUUCUUUCAACAUUUAGCCUUUUGUUGUUAAAUUUUGCUUAAUUAUUUUAAGGCUUCCAAUUUUGUUAAAAAAAAAGUUUGUAUUUCGUGUUGUUAGUAUAUGUGUUUUUAAACAAAUAAAAACAUUGAAUUCACUUCUCAACAAGUGGUUCAUCACCAAAAACUUUGUCUGCUUUUUUCUUCGCUGGUUACAGGGAGCCGCGCAUCCAAUCUUCUUCGCAGGUAAAAUCAAAAAGGACAGAUUUUUCUUACAAUUUUUGCCAGGAAAUUCUG